Molecule: long non-coding RNA, 276 nt
Filed under: Olea europaea subsp. europaea
Lineage: Eukaryota; Viridiplantae; Streptophyta; Magnoliopsida; Lamiales; Oleaceae
Source: RNAcentral
NGAUAUUCUCAUAUUCUUUUGUAUACAAUUUUUGAUAAAAUCUCUUAUUUUUUGAUCUUGUAAACCCUCAGAAUAAUUUUUUGGUUGUGCAAACCAAGGGGAAUGAUGACCUUAGGUUGUACCAAGUCUGAAACCAAGUGGAUUUAUUUUUUGUCUCAUACUCUCCCAAUGCUAGACGUGCUCUAGGUUUUUUUAACGAAUAUAUCUAUCCAUAUUCAUCAUGUAAAGAUAUAUCUUUCACUCCAAUAGUUAUAUGACAGGUAGGUCUUUUUAUCG